UGCAGUCGAGGGGUAGGUCAAGCUUGCUUGACACACGACCGGCGCACGGGUGCGUAACGCGUAUGCAACCUACCCUUAACAGUGGGAUAGCCCGAAGAAAUUCGGAUUAAUACCGCAUAAUAUUCUGAAGCGACAUCGCUUUAGGAUCAAAACUCCGGUGGUUAAGGAUGGGCAUGCGUGACAUUAGCUAGUUGGUGAGGUAACGGCUCACCAAGGCAUCGAUUGUCUAGGGGUUCUGAGAAGAUGAUCCCCCCCACUGGUACUGAGAACGGACCAAACUCCUACGGGAGGCAGCAGUAAGGAAUAUUGGUCAAUGGACGCAAGUCUGAACCAACCAUGGCGCGUGCAGGAAGACGGCCUUAUGGGUUGGAAACUGCUUUUAUACAGGAAUAAUUUUCCGUACGCGUACGGGAUUGAAGGUACUGUAGGAAUAAACACCGGCUAACUCCGUGCCAGCAGCCGCGGUAAUACG
RNAcentral lists this ribosomal RNA (472 nucleotides) under uncultured bacterium. RNAcentral describes it as "bacterial SSU rRNA". It matches the Rfam family "Bacterial small subunit ribosomal RNA", at positions 56 to 527 of the family's 1533-position model. The record is from RNAcentral.